RNAcentral lists this transfer RNA (86 nucleotides) under Candidatus Methanomethylophilus alvi Mx1201. Its description in RNAcentral is "tRNA-Leu (TAA) (tRNA-Leu-TAA-1-1)". It matches the Rfam family "tRNA". From Rfam's summary of the family: Transfer RNA (tRNA) molecules are approximately 80 nucleotides in length. Lineage: Archaea; Methanobacteriati; Thermoplasmatota; Thermoplasmata; Methanomassiliicoccales; Methanomethylophilaceae. The record is from RNAcentral. RNAcentral also lists the same sequence under 2 other names.
GCGGGGGUGGUCGAGCUGGCCAAAGGCGCCGGACUUAAGAUCCGGUCCCUAGCGGUUCAGGGGUUCGAAUCCCCUCCCCCGCACCA